RNAcentral lists this ribosomal RNA (323 nucleotides) under uncultured bacterium. Its description in RNAcentral is "bacterial SSU rRNA". It matches the Rfam family "Bacterial small subunit ribosomal RNA", at positions 30 to 355 of the family's 1533-position model. The record is from RNAcentral.
AUUGAACGCUGGCGGCAUGCCUUACACAUGCAAGUCGAACGGCAGCACGGGAGCAAUCCUGGUGGCGAGUGGCGAACGGGUGAGUAAUAUAUCGGAACGUGCCCAGUCGUGGGGAUAACGUAGCGAAAGCUACGCUAAUACCGCAUACGAUCUAUGGAUGAAAGCGGGGGAUCGCAAGACCUCGCGCGAUUGGAGCGGCCGAUAUCAGAUUAGGUAGUUGGUGAGGUAAAGGCUCACCAAGCCGACGAUCUGUAGCUGGUCUGAGAGACGACCAGCCACACUGGGACUGAGACACGGCCCAGACUCCUACGGGAGGCAGCAGU